UGGGGACAUUUUAAAUGCAUUUGGUGGGU
Molecule: non-coding RNA, 29 nt
Filed under: Mus musculus (house mouse)
Lineage: Eukaryota; Metazoa; Chordata; Mammalia; Rodentia; Muridae
Source: RNAcentral